UACAGAGGGUGCGAGCGUUAAUCGGAAUUACUGGGCGUAAAGCGCGCGUAGGCGGCUUUGCAAGUCGGGUGUGAAAUCCCCAGGCUUAGCCUGGGAACUGCAUUCGAGACUGCAUUGCUAGAGUAUGGGAGAGGGAAGUGGAAUUUCCGGUGUAGCGGUGAAAUGCGUAGAUAUCGGAAGGAACAUCAGUGGCGAAAGCGACUUCCUGGACCAAUACUGACGCUCAUGUGCGAAAGCGUGGGGAGCAAACAGG
RNAcentral lists this ribosomal RNA (253 nucleotides) under uncultured bacterium. RNAcentral describes it as "partial 16S ribosomal RNA". It matches the Rfam family "Bacterial small subunit ribosomal RNA", at positions 524 to 776 of the family's 1533-position model. The record is from RNAcentral.